Molecule: long non-coding RNA, 232 nt
Filed under: Durio zibethinus
Lineage: Eukaryota; Viridiplantae; Streptophyta; Magnoliopsida; Malvales; Malvaceae
Description: long non-coding RNA (DZIB_LNC000656)
Source: RNAcentral
UUUUGAACCCAUUCUGCUUCUUCUAGCUCUACCUCUAUUAGACUCUCAGUGAGGGAAUUUUCACUUUAACUGGUAACACAACUUCUAUUUCAUAUACCAAAGAGAAAAGAAUGGCUCCAAUAGAUGUUCUAACUGAUGUUCUAUAAGCAUGCAAGGUAAAAGGUAAUUUUUUGUGUCAAUCUUUAUAAGUAUCAGUCAUUUUCUCCAAGAUUCUUUUAAUAUUCUUAUUUAU